RNAcentral lists this ribosomal RNA (158 nucleotides) under uncultured bacterium. RNAcentral describes it as "partial 16S ribosomal RNA". It matches the Rfam family "Bacterial small subunit ribosomal RNA", at positions 355 to 509 of the family's 1533-position model. The record is from RNAcentral.
UGAGGAAUAUUGGUCAAUGGGCGAGAGCCUGAACCAGCCAAGUAGCGUGAAGGAUGACUGCCCUAUGGGUUGUAAACUUCUUUUAUAAAGGAAUAAAGUCGGGUAUGGAUACCCGUUUGUCAUGUACUUUAUGAAUAAGGAUCGGCUAACUCCGUGCC